RNAcentral lists this ribosomal RNA (1288 nucleotides) under metagenome. RNAcentral describes it as "bacterial SSU rRNA". It matches the Rfam family "Bacterial small subunit ribosomal RNA", at positions 173 to 1498 of the family's 1533-position model. The record is from RNAcentral.
AUAUAACUGAGGAGUGAAACAUGUUCAUCAUGGCCAAAAGAGGGGCUUGCGUCUGAUUAGCUAGUUGGUGGGGGUAAAAGCCUCCCAAGGCCACGAUCAGUAGCUGGUCUGAGAGGAUGAUCAGCCACACUGGAACUGAGAAACGGCCCAGACUCCUACGGGAGGCAGCAGUGAGGAAUUUUCCGCAAUGGGCGAAAGCCUGACGGAGCAAUGCCGCGUGAAGGAUGAAGGACUGUGGUUCGUAAACUUCUUUUCUCAAAGAAGAAUAAAUGACGGUAUUUGAGGAAUAAGCUCCGGCUAACCCUGUGCCAGCAGCCGCGGUAAUACAGGGGGAGCAAGCGUUAUCCGGAAUGAUUGGGCGUAAAGCGUCUGUAGGUGGUGUAUGAAGUCUUCUGUUAAAUUCCAGGGCUCAACCUUGGGCAAGCAGUAGAGUACUCAUAUGCUAGAGUUUGGGAGAGGUAGAGGGAACUCCUCGUGGAGCGGUGAAAUGCGUAGAGAUGAGGAAGAACACCAGUGGCGAAAGCGCUCUACUGGACCACAACUGACACUGAGAGACGAAAGCUACGGGAGUGAAAAGGAUUAGAUACCCUUGUAAUCGUAGCCGUAAACGAUGGAAACUAAAUGCUGCACAAAGCAGUGUUGUAGCUAACGCGUUAAGUUUCCCGCCUGGGGAGUAUGACCGCAAGGUUGAAACUCAAAGGAAUUGACGGGGGCCUGCACAAGCAGUGGAUUAUGUGGUUUAAUUCGAUUCAACGCGAAGAACCUUACCAGGGUUUGACAUACUAGGAACUUUUCAGAAAUGAGAAGGUGCCCGUUUUUAAAAUUGGAACCUAGAUACAGGUGGUGCAUGGCUGUCGUCAGCUCGUACCGUGAGGCGUAUGGUUAAGUCCCAUAACGAGCGCAACCCUCGUCUUUAGUUAUAUUCUCUAAAGAGACUGCCAGUGUAAGCUGGAGGAAGGUGAGAUGACGUCAAGUCAGCAUGCCCCUUACACCCUGGGCGACACACGUAAUACAAUGGCCAAGACAAUCAGAUGCGAUCCUGCGAAGGCUAGCGAACCUGUUAAACUUGUCCUCAGUUCGGAUUGCAGGCUGCAACUCGCCUGCAUGAAGCCGGAAUUGCUAGUAAUCGCCGGUCAGCCAUACGGCGGUGAAUACGUUCCCAGGCCUUGUACACACCGCCCGUCAAUGGCUUAAAAUCGGGUUGGGUUGAAGUGAGUGUUCUAACCUAGUAAUAGGAGGUAACUCCCUACACCACACUUGAUAAUUCGUCAUAAGUCGUAACAAGGUA